UACAGAGGUCUCGAGCGUUAGGCGGAAUCACUGGGCUUAAAGCGUGUGUAGGUGGAUCGGUAAGUACCUUGUGAAAUCCCACAGCUUAACUGUGGAACUGCUUGGUAUACUGCCAGUCUUGAGCCAGCUAGGGGCUACCGGAACAAAUGGUGGAGCGGUGAAAUGCGUAGAUAUCAUUUGGAACGCCAAUGGUGAAAACAGGUAGCUGGGGCUGUGCUGACACUGAGACACGAAAGCCAGGGGAGUAAACGGG
This 253-nucleotide ribosomal RNA is filed under the name uncultured bacterium. RNAcentral's name for it is "partial 16S ribosomal RNA". It matches the Rfam family "Bacterial small subunit ribosomal RNA", at positions 524 to 776 of the family's 1533-position model. The record is from RNAcentral.